CCCAGGAGCCACAAGUGGGAGCCACUUUUAUUGGGCCUAAAGCGUUCGUAGCCGGUCUUGUAAAUUUCCUGUGAAAUCGUUAGGCUCAACCUAACGACGUGCAGGGAAGACUGCAAGACUAGGGACUGGGAGGCGUCAGAGGUAUUCCUGAGGGAGCGGUAAAAUGUUAUAAUCUUAGGAGGACCCCCAGUGGCGAAGGCGUCUGACGAGAACGGAUCCGACGGUGAGGAACGAAAGCUAGGGGAGCAAACCGG
Molecule: ribosomal RNA, 254 nt
Filed under: uncultured bacterium
Lineage: Bacteria
Description: partial 16S ribosomal RNA
Rfam family: Archaeal small subunit ribosomal RNA
Source: RNAcentral